This 484-nucleotide ribosomal RNA is filed under the name uncultured bacterium. Its description in RNAcentral is "partial 16S ribosomal RNA". It matches the Rfam family "Bacterial small subunit ribosomal RNA", at positions 30 to 507 of the family's 1533-position model. The record is from RNAcentral.
AUUGAACGCUGGCGGCAGGCCUAACACAUGCAAGUCGAGCGGAUGAAGGGAGCUUGCUCCUGGAUUCAGCGGCGGACGGGUGAGUAAUGCCUAGGAAUCUGCCUGGGAGUGGGGGAUAACGUCCGGAAACGGGCGCUAAUACCGCAUACGUCCUGAGGGAGAAAGUGGGGGAUCUUCGGAUCUCACGCUAUCAGAUGAGCCUAGGUCGGAUUAGCUAGUUGGUGGGGUAAAGGCCUACCAAGGCGACGAUCCGUAACUGGUCUGAGAGGAUGAUCAGUCACACUGGAACUGAGACACGGUCCAGACUCCUACGGGAGGCAGCAGUGGGGAAUAUUGGACAAUGGGCGAAAGCCUGAUCCAGCCAUGCCGCGUGUGUGAAGAAGGUCUUCGGAUUGUAAAGCACUUUAAGUUGGGAGGAAGGGCAGUAAGUUAAUACCUUGCUGUUUUGACGUUACCAACAGAAUAAGCACCGGCUAACUUCGUG